AGAGUUUGAUCCUGGCUCAGAGCGAACGUUUGCGGCGGGCCUAACACAUGCAAGUCGAACGCACUAGCAAUAGUGAGUGGCGCACGGGUGCGUAACACGUGGUAAUCAACCUUCAGCUUGGGAUAACGACUUGAAAGGGUCGCUAAUACCGGAUACGGCGCGGGAGGCUUCGGCUUCUCACGAGAAAGCCUCGCAAGGGGCACUGAAGGACGAGCCUGCGGCCCAUCAGCUAGUUGGUGAGGUAAGAGCUCACCAAGGCGAAGACGGGUAGCUGGUCUGAGAGGAUGAUCAGCCACACUGGAACUGAGACACGGUCCAGACUCCUACGGGAGGCAGCAGUGGGGAAUUUUGGACAAUGGGCGCAAGCCUGAUCCAGCCAUUCCGCGUGCAGGAUGAAGGCCUUCGGGUUGUAAACUGCUUUUGUACGGAACGAAAAGGUCCUGGUUAAUACCUGGGGCUCAUGACGGUACCGUAAGAAUAGGCACCGGCUAACUACGUG
Molecule: ribosomal RNA, 499 nt
Filed under: uncultured bacterium
Lineage: Bacteria
Description: bacterial SSU rRNA
Rfam family: Bacterial small subunit ribosomal RNA
Source: RNAcentral